AGAACGAACGCUGGCGGCGUGGAUAAGACAUGCAAGUCGAGCGAGAUUUUUUCUUGUAGCAAUACAGGGAAAAGUCUAGCGGCGCACGGGUGAGUAACACGUGGGCAACCUGCCCCUCACACUGGGAUAACCUCGGGAAACCGGGCUAAUACCGGAUACGACCUCGAGCGGCAUCUCUUGAGGUGGAAAGCUCCGACGGUGAGGGAUGGGCCCGCGGCCUAUCAGCUUGUUGGUGGGGUAAUGGCCUACCAAGGCGACGACGGGUA
This 266-nucleotide ribosomal RNA is filed under the name uncultured bacterium. RNAcentral's name for it is "partial small subunit ribosomal RNA". It matches the Rfam family "Bacterial small subunit ribosomal RNA", at positions 26 to 285 of the family's 1533-position model. The record is from RNAcentral.